UCUAUCCUAUUGUAUGCUUGAAUGGUUUGAUUGGAGUCUACAAGGUAAUUUUAGGGUUUGAAUUCUGAUAUGCUGAUUUUAAAUGUUAAAACUCUUUUUAUGCAUGUUAAAAAAAUUUAAAAUCUAUAUUCUACUGCAUGAUCGGAACCCAAUAGGUGGUACCCCUUACCACCCUAGCAGAACAUCCAGGCAAAUCCCAUCCUAGGGGUACCAAAAUACCAAGUAGCAUUGCAAUUGGGGAGCACCG
RNAcentral lists this long non-coding RNA (247 nucleotides) under Elaeis guineensis (African oil palm). RNAcentral describes it as "long non-coding RNA (EGUI_LNC009702)". Lineage: Eukaryota; Viridiplantae; Streptophyta; Magnoliopsida; Arecales; Arecaceae. The record is from RNAcentral.